RNAcentral lists this long non-coding RNA (1420 nucleotides) under Oryctolagus cuniculus (rabbit). Its description in RNAcentral is "lncRNA (ENSOCUG00000035221.1)". Lineage: Eukaryota; Metazoa; Chordata; Mammalia; Lagomorpha; Leporidae. The record is from RNAcentral.
CACCGAGGAGGCCCAACUGCACAGGUGACUGUGUACCUUACCCCACGUUCACACCAGCUCAACACAUGGACUCCACACCAGCCCCCCAGUGCACCGGAACCCAACAGGGCACACACUCGCACACCAGACCCUGUGCACGGGGACCCUACGGGGCAUACACUCCCACACCAGGCCCCCCCCUGCUCCUACCCCAGGCCCCCCACCCCAUGUGCACACUCUCACACUAGCCACCGUGUGUACACUCGCACACCAGUUCCUCGUGUGCAAACUCCCACGCCUCCCAUACCAAGUCCCCCGUGCACACUCCCACACCAGGCCCCCAUGCUCACACUUGCACACCAGCCCAUGGGCACACUCCCACAUCAGGCCCCCAUGUACAUACUCCCACACCAGCCUGUGUACACACUCCCACACCAGCCCCCCAUGUGCACACUCCCACACCAGGCCCCCCCGUGCUCAUACUCCCACACCAGCCCAUGUGCACACUCCCACACCAGCCCCCCAUGUGCACACUCCCACACCAGGCCCCCAUGCUCACACUCACACACCAGCCCAGGGGCACACUCCCACACCAGCCCCCCACGUACACUCCCACACCAGCCCCCAUGUACACUCCCACACCAGCCCCCGUGCUCACACUCGCACACCAGCCCAUGUACACACUCCCACACCAGCCCGACUGCUGCUGUGUGAAGAGCUCCAGCCUGCUUGCCUCGGUCUCCCUCACUGCACAGCUAGGACAGUGCUUCCAUUCCAGGGGAACGGGGGCUGUGCUCAGGAUGGCAGGGAGGCGUGGGGUGGGAGUGGAGAGAAAGCGGUGUCCAGCUUGGGGAGGGACCCUGCAUGGCCAGGCAGGUGGGCACAGGGCAGAGAGGGACGUGCUGUGGGUGGCAAUGGCUCUGUAGCUCAUCACAGAGGGAGACGACCAGACGCAGAAGCACAGGCCAAGGCGCCACGAAACCUCCACCACCUGCAACUCCGACGCCUCCUCCCAUGCUCCGUCCGUCCCAUCUCAUCUUCUCCUUCUCUCAGUGCCGCACACGGCCAAGGACGUCCACCCCACGCCAUGGCUCUCCAGCCGGCAGGGAGGGAAAUGCUGUUCUCUGUGGCCCCGAGACAGUUACAGGACACGCGUGAGCCCAGCGGGGACAGCAAGCAACAGGCUGUCCGCACACGGCCCACAGCUGCCAGGAGGGGAGGAGUCGUGUGCUGGUCACAGGGCAGGGGCGUCAAGGCGCGUCCCAAGUCGGAGGUCUCGUCACUCCAAGAACUAACACCUGCCCUUCAACAGUCUGCACGUUCCAGAGGGCUCAGCAGUGCCGCAGCCGGCAGCACGGAAGGAAGAGGACACACACGACUCGGCGCUUCGCCAGCAGAGGCAGACGAAAACCCUCCUUUUCCCAUCCCUGCCAAAACAUAA